This 276-nucleotide long non-coding RNA is filed under the name Elaeis guineensis (African oil palm). RNAcentral describes it as "long non-coding RNA (EGUI_LNC050183)". Lineage: Eukaryota; Viridiplantae; Streptophyta; Magnoliopsida; Arecales; Arecaceae. The record is from RNAcentral.
GAAGGGCUGUGUCUUCGCAGCACCCUUGUUCUUAAAGGAGCGCUCAACGGAUCCACUUCCGGCCAUCUUUUUCGGUGCCCAAUCCUCCUUCCCUCAUCGGAUGCCCUCUCACGAGGUCUCUGCACAACUACCUCCGGCUAUGGUCGCCGAUAAGGGGUGGCCGGAUGACCGAUCUUUGCCGGAUUCCGUCAACGUCAUCUCGGGGGAAUCCCGGUGGGAGGCAAUCAGUGCACCAGCUGCAUCCCCCAAGCGACAAAAAGUUGAAGAACCCAUAAC